This 253-nucleotide ribosomal RNA is filed under the name uncultured bacterium. RNAcentral's name for it is "partial 16S ribosomal RNA". It matches the Rfam family "Bacterial small subunit ribosomal RNA", at positions 524 to 776 of the family's 1533-position model. The record is from RNAcentral.
UACGUAGGGACCGAGCGUUGUCCGGAAUCAUUGGGCGUAAAGAGCGUGUAGGCGGCUUGCUAAGUCUUGCGUGAAAUCUCGGGGCUCAACCCCGAGCGGUCGUGGGAAACUGGCAGGCUAGAGUGCGGGAGAGGAGAAUGGAAUUCCUGGUGUAGCGGUGAAAUGCGCAGAUAUCAGGAAGAACACCCGUGGCGAAGGCGGUUCUCUGGAACGCAACUGACGCUGAGACGCGGAAGCGUGGGGAGCAAACAGG